UUAAUUGAAGAGUUUGAUCAUGGCUCAGAUUGAACGCUGGCGGCAGGCCUAACACAUGCAAGUCGAGCGGAAACAGGAAGGUAGCUUGCUACUUUCGCUGUCGAGCGGCGGACGGGUGAGUAAUGCCUAGAUAUCUGCCUAGUCGUGGGGGAUAACAGUUGGAAACGACUGCUAAUACCGCAUACGCCCUACGGGGGAAAGGAGGGGACCUUCGGGCCUUUCGC
RNAcentral lists this ribosomal RNA (224 nucleotides) under Shewanella hanedai. Its description in RNAcentral is "partial 16S ribosomal RNA". It matches the Rfam family "Bacterial small subunit ribosomal RNA", at positions 1 to 218 of the family's 1533-position model. The record is from RNAcentral. Lineage: Bacteria; Pseudomonadati; Pseudomonadota; Gammaproteobacteria; Alteromonadales; Shewanellaceae.